This 664-nucleotide ribosomal RNA is filed under the name uncultured archaeon. RNAcentral describes it as "bacterial SSU rRNA". It matches the Rfam family "Archaeal small subunit ribosomal RNA", at positions 691 to 1353 of the family's 1478-position model. The record is from RNAcentral.
UCGACGGUGAGGGGUGAAAGCUGGGGGAGCAAACCGGAUUAGAUACCCGGGUAGUCCCAGCUGUAAACGAUGCAAACUCGAUGAUGCGUUGGCUUAUUGCUAGCGCAGUGUCGCAGGGAAGCCGUUAAGUUUGCCGCCUGGGAAGUACGUACGCAAGUAUGAAACUUAAAGGAAUUGGCGGGGGAGCACCACAAGGGGUGAAGCCUGCGGUUCAAUUGGAGUCAACGCCUGAAACCUUACCCGGAGAGACAGCAGAAUGAAGGUCAAGCUGAAGACUUUACCAGACAAGCUGAGAGGUGGUGCAUGGCCGUCGCCAGCUCGUGCCGUGAGAUGUCCUGUUAAGUCAGGUAACGAGCGAGAUCCCUGCCUCUAGUUGCCACCAUUACUCUCAGGAGUAGUGGGGCGAAUUAGCGGGACCGCCGCAGUUAAUGCGGAGGAAGGAAGGGGCCACGGCAGGUCAGUAUGCCCCGAAACUCUGGGGCCACACGCGGGCUGCAAUGGUAACGACAAUUGGUUUCGAAUCCGAAAGGAUGAGGUAAUCCUCAAACGUUACCACAGUUAUGACUGAGGGCUGCAACUCGCCCUCACGAAUAUGGAAUCCCUAGUAACUGCGUGUCAUUAUCGCGCGGUGAAUACGUCCCUGCUCCUUGCACACACCGCCCGU